This 42-nucleotide ribosomal RNA is filed under the name Peltidocotyle lenha. RNAcentral describes it as "partial 28S ribosomal RNA". RNAcentral also lists the same sequence under 3 other names. The record is from RNAcentral. Lineage: Eukaryota; Metazoa; Platyhelminthes; Cestoda; Proteocephalidea; Proteocephalidae.
UCGGAUCAGUCGUGAUUACCCGCUGAACUUAAGCAUAUCAAU